This 222-nucleotide long non-coding RNA is filed under the name Gossypium barbadense (sea-island cotton). RNAcentral describes it as "long non-coding RNA (GBAR_LNC005410)". Lineage: Eukaryota; Viridiplantae; Streptophyta; Magnoliopsida; Malvales; Malvaceae. The record is from RNAcentral.
UGAAAUUGCGGAGGAAGUAACGGUAGAUAGGGCUAUUAGAUUCACGUUUGGAGCAAAACGCGAGGGAGGGAGUGUGUUCUGAGUUUGGAGCCGCCGUACUCGGUUAGAAGAAACGGCGUCGGAGAUUGAAACGGUGGUUUUUCAGAAUUUCGAAAGUCAGCGUUUGAGAUACUGUGUUGGUGGUGAUGAUGAAACUGACGAAACCAAAGGGCGGGAAACGGA